AUUCUGUACAACCAUAACUUUGUGUCUUGUUUUUGUACCAAAGGUAUAGUUGAAGGUUAAAUUAAAUUUUGUAAAAAUAAGAACUACUUAUAUGUUAAGAUUAAACAAGUUUUUUUAUCUCAUUUUGCAAACUGCAAAUCUAAACAUGAUGACAAAUUCUUUGUAUUUUCUCACAAAUUUUGCCUGACUUUGUACGUGUAAUUUCGUAUGUAGAAAAUGAGGUAUUAAACCUGACUUGAAAGCUAGCUAAACUUCUCACUUGUAUGACAGUCGAAUAAAAUUGCAUUAUAUUGACAAUGAUGUGUGAAUAAAACAAACAGAUAUAAGAAGUAAAAAUGUCAGAAUAUGCAUACAACAUUGUGGAAUAAUCUUAAUCGCUAUAAACACAAAAAUUGUGUAACAAGGAAACACAAAAAGGCAUAUAGAAAAUUUAGAGCUUGAAAUAAUGUUAACAGGUACGAAUAAAAGGUGUUUGACGACAGUAGAGAAAGAAUGUAAUGUUAUAUAAUUAAAUUAUAAUAUUAUAACUGCUGGAGAUUUCUACAAACUGGACGUGACAAUAGAACUGAAUGUCAUAUGGCGCUCACAAACAUAAUUCAUGUAUUAAUUUGUAGAUAGUUGAAUUAAAAAUUGAUCCAAGAGGCGACGACAGAAGAAUACGAGCUACGCUUAAAAGGAAUGGAAAGAAAAAAGAAGAAAAUGGUCCAUUGUUUAGAAAAGAUAUUAAAGAUGUCGAAGAACUAAACAAACACUACAAAGAAAUUAUUAAACAG
Molecule: long non-coding RNA, 773 nt
Filed under: Mytilus galloprovincialis (Mediterranean mussel)
Lineage: Eukaryota; Metazoa; Mollusca; Bivalvia; Mytilida; Mytilidae
Source: RNAcentral